This is a long non-coding RNA of Oncorhynchus tshawytscha (Chinook salmon), 1448 nucleotides long. Lineage: Eukaryota; Metazoa; Chordata; Actinopteri; Salmoniformes; Salmonidae. The record is from Ensembl.
GGUUGAAAUAACACUCUGAAAUUGUAUAAAAUUACGAUAAUGUCCUUUUGAAAACAAUGCUUGGAAUUUCAGCCUGUUCAGGUGGGAUGGAGUUUUUGACCCACAGCAUGACAUCACAAUCUGAUCUGAUUUUUCUGACCAAUGACCAGUCAUCUUUUAUUUGCAUAUGUCUCCACCUACUUUGAAGGGGUAAGCUGGGUAGGCUCUAGUGCAGGGAUGGGCAACUCCAGUCCCACUGUUUCCCUAGCAAACACAGCUGAUUAAACUGACUGUAUUCUGAACUGAAGAACAUGAUCAUUGCAUUACUGGAGUCAGAUGUCUUAGCUGGGGCUGAAGUGUGACACCAAUCAGGCCCCCGAGGACUGGAGCUGCCCAUCCCUGCUCUAGAGUCUAGACAAUCCUAUCCACCAAUCAGAGCUGUGCAUGUAAAUAUAUUUACAUUUCUAUCAACACACCGACACGAUCAGACAGAGCAUUCCAAUGGCUGAAGGAGGCUCAGGGAAAUAAAUUAUAAAACAUUUAUUUGAAGUUAUUUUCAUGAAGUAAACACAGUGAUUUAUUAGACAUCCAGUGAUGAUUUACAAAUAAAAAAAUAAAUAGACUGCGUGGAGGCGUUAAAUGUUUGAUCUGCAAGAUAGAGGCAAUAUGGUGGAAGCUUUACCACUACCAUAGAGAAUGAUAGAGGCAAUAUAGUGGAAGAUUUACCACUACCAUAGAGAAUGAUAGAGGCAAUAUAGUGGAAGAUUUACCACUACCAUAGAGAAUGAUAGAGGCAAUAUGGUGGAAGCUUUACCACCACCAUAGAGAAUGAUAGAGGCAAUAUAGUGGAAGAUUUACCACUACCAUAGAGAAUGAUAGAGGCAAUAUAGUGGAAGAUUUACCACUACCAUAGAGAAUGAUAGAGGCCUCUAGUGGCCAAAAGGUUGUAUUAGCACGGGGCAGCACCAUUGAGAGCUUCCACCAUUUUAAUGUAGUCAACUGGCUGGGACUUCCAACUUCAUUGGCUGAUCCCUACUGGUGACCUUGUUGGGAGUCAUGUGCAGCCAAGGGUCAUCAGGAGGUAUCAGCCAAUCGUGAAGAAGAAAAUGGGACUACUUCAAAAUGGCCUCAAUGGCACUGCCCAUGAUGUCACAGACGCCAUAGUGGGACGGAUACAAUGGUACGGCCUCUUUCCAUCUCUAUGACCCCCCCCCCCACUACACACGGAUACAAUGUGAUACAGCCUCUUUCCAUCUCUAUGACCCCCCACUACAAACGGAUACAGCCCUGUCAGACGUGUUAACGUGGAGGGCACCCUGAUACGGCCUCUUUCCAUCUCUAUGACCCCCUACUACACUACACACGGAUACAGCCCUGGUCAGACGUGUUGACGUCGAGGACCCCCCCCUGGCUUCCUCCUGUGUGUAGAACUCAAUGCACUGAUUCAAUGUUUCUGCUGUGAAUAAAAC